RNAcentral lists this non-coding RNA (28 nucleotides) under Homo sapiens (human). The record is from RNAcentral. Lineage: Eukaryota; Metazoa; Chordata; Mammalia; Primates; Hominidae.
UAGAACAGCUCAGAGGAGGCCUAGAGUG